GACGAACGCUGGCGGCGUGCUUAACACAUGCAAGUCGAACGAAGAGCGGUGGAAGCUUGCUUCUAUCAAUCUUAGUGGCGAACGGGUGAGUAACGCGUAAUCAACCUGCCCUUCAGAGGGGGACAACAGUUGGAAACGACUGCUAAUACCGCAUACGAUCUAACCUCGGCAUCGAGGAUGGAUGAAAGGUGGCCUCUAUUUAUAAGCUAUCACUGAAGGAGGGGAUUGCGUCUGAUUAGCUAGUUGGAGGGGUAACGGCCCACCAAGGCGAUGAUCAGUAGCCGGUCUGAGAGGAUGAACGGCCACAUUGGGACUGAGACACGGCCCAGACUCCUACGGGAGGCAGCAGUGGGGAAUCUUCCGCAAUGGACGAAAGUCUGACGGAGCAACGCCGCGUGAGUGAUGACGGCCUUCGGGUUGUAAAGCUCUGUUAAUCGGGACGAAAGGCCUUCUUGCGAAUAGUUAGAAGGAUUGACGGUACCGGAAUAGAAAGCCACGGCUAACUACGU
RNAcentral lists this ribosomal RNA (509 nucleotides) under uncultured bacterium. RNAcentral's name for it is "partial 16S ribosomal RNA". It matches the Rfam family "Bacterial small subunit ribosomal RNA", at positions 28 to 506 of the family's 1533-position model. The record is from RNAcentral.